UGCAUUCAGGUCGCGUUGCGUUCAGGUCGUGCUGCGUUCAGGUCGCGUUGCGUUCAGGUCGCGUUGCGUUCAGGUCGUGUUGCGUUCAGGUCGUGUUGCGUUCAGGUCGUGUUGCGUUCAGGUCGUGUUGCGUUCAGGUCGUGCUCCGUUCAGGUCGUGUUGCGUUCAGGUCGUGUUGCGUUCAGGUCGCGCUGCGUUCAGGUCGUGUUGCGUUCAGGUCGUGUUGCGUUCAGGUCGUGUUGCGUUCAGGUCGUGUUCCGUUCAGGUCGUGCUGCGUUCAGGUCGUGUUGCGUUCAGGUCGUGUUCCGUUCAGG
Poecilia latipinna (sailfin molly) is the source of this 314-nucleotide long non-coding RNA. RefSeq lists it as uncharacterized. Lineage: Eukaryota; Metazoa; Chordata; Actinopteri; Cyprinodontiformes; Poeciliidae. The transcript is spliced from 3 exons. The record is from RefSeq and is a predicted model, not a curated record.